UACAAGCUGCAUUGUACGUAUUGAUAAUAAAGUUUUAACCUUUAAGCUGUAACAGGGAGUUUUAUAUUGAAACUGGAAUGACAAGCUUUCGCCUACAUGGCAUGGAAGACAAGCAAGAACGUUUCUGCAAACACCCACUUUGAGGAGUGGUGGUUUAAAACUUUCUUAAUACUCAUACGGCAAAGGCGGCCUUAUA
Molecule: non-coding RNA, 196 nt
Rfam family: 6S / SsrS RNA
About the family: E. coli 6S RNA was the first non coding RNA to be sequenced, but its function was unknown until recently.
Source: Rfam